This 1400-nucleotide ribosomal RNA is filed under the name uncultured bacterium. RNAcentral describes it as "bacterial SSU rRNA". It matches the Rfam family "Bacterial small subunit ribosomal RNA". The record is from RNAcentral.
AGAGUUUGAUCCUGGCUCAGGAUGAACGCUAGCUACAGGCUUAACACAUGCAAGUCGAGGGGCAGCAUAUAGAUAGCUUGCUAUUUAUGAUGGCGACCGGCGCACGGGUGAGUAACGCGUAUCCAACCUUCCCUAUACUAGAGGAUAGCCCGGCGAAAGUCGGAUUAAUACUCUAUGUUUUCCAAAGAUGGCAUCUGACUUGGAACAAAGGUUUACCGGUAUAGGAUGGGGAUGCGUCUGAUUAGGUUGUUGGCGGGGUAACGGCCCACCAAGCCUGCGAUCAGUAGGGGUUCUGAGAGGAAGGUCCCCCACAUUGGUACUGAGACACGGACCAAACUCCUACGGGAGGCAGCAGUGAGGAAUAUUGGUCAAUGGGCGCGAGCCUGAACCAGCCAAGCAGCGUGCAGGAAGACUGCCCUAUGGGUUGUAAACUGCUUUUAUAGGGGAAUAAAGUGAGGUAUGCAUACCUUUUUGUAUGUACCCUAUGAAUAAGGACCGGCUAAUUCCGUGCCAGCAGCCGCGGUAAUACGGAAGGUCCGGGCGUUAUCCGGAUUUAUUGGGUUUAAAGGGAGCGCAGGCGGGAGGAUAAGCGUGUUGUGAAAUGUACCGGCUCAACCGGUGAUGUGCAGCGCGAACUGUUUUCCUUGAGUGAGUACGACGUCAGCGGAAUUCGUGGUGUAGCGGUGAAAUGCUUAGAUAUCACGAAGAACCCCGAUUGCGAAGGCAGCUGACGAGUCCUUAACUGACGCUAAAGCUCGAAAGUGCGGGUAUCGAACAGGAUUAGAUACCCUGGUAGUCCGCACGGUAAACGAUGGAUGCCCGCUGUUUGCGAUACACUGUAAGCGGCCAAGCGAAAGCGUUAAGCAUCCCACCUGGGGAGUACGCCGGCAACGGUGAAACUCAAAGGAAUUGACGGGGGCCCGCACAAGCGGAGGAACAUGUGGUUUAAUUCGAUGAUACGCGAGGAACCUUACCCGGGCUUGAGCUGCAGGAGAAGGAUACAGAGAUGUUGACGUCCUUCGGGACUCCUGUGGAGGUGCUGCAUGGUUGUCGUCAGCUCGUGCCGUGAGGUGUCGGCUUAAGUGCCAUAACGAGCGCAACCCCUCUCGUCAGUUGCCAUCAGGUAGUGCUGGGCACUCUGGCGACACUGCCACCGUAAGGUGCGAGGAAGGUGGGGAUGACGUCAAAUCAGCACGGCCCUUACGUCCGGGGCUACACACGUGUUACAAUGGGUGGUACAGAGAGUAGGGUGCCGGCAACGUCGCCCCAAUCAACAAAGCCAUCCUCAGUUCGGAUUGGGGUCUGCAACCCGACCCCAUGAAGCUGGAUUCGCUAGUAAUCGCGCAUCAGCCAUGGCGCGGUGAAUACGUUCCCGGGCCUUGCACACACCGCCCGUCAAG